Long non-coding RNA from Ricinus communis (castor bean), 2998 nucleotides. RefSeq lists it as uncharacterized. The transcript is spliced from 6 exons. Lineage: Eukaryota; Viridiplantae; Streptophyta; Magnoliopsida; Malpighiales; Euphorbiaceae. The record is from RefSeq and is a predicted model, not a curated record.
CAUCCAUGCAAAGAAUAUUAAGAAUUGAAUUUCAUUGGCUGCCAUGGGAUUUCCAUUAUAAAGUUAACGAAGACCUGUGCUAAAUUAACUGAUCAAAUGGGUUUUCUUGUUAUAUUUUAUUUGUCGAGCCAGGGAAUCUCAUGAAAUUCUACCAGUGCAAUUCUGAUAGGAAUUAAACCAAGCAUUUUACAAUUAUGGAUCUUAAUCGUGCUUUUUAUUUUUUUAUUUUUUUGUACAAUUUCUAUUUCUAACUUCAAGUUCAACAUCAUCAUUUUCCUCAUAAACAAUAUUUAUUAGAGGCAGAUAUAUGAUUAAAUAGAAGAAGGAAAAGAAUGAUUACAACUUCCGUAUUUGACCGCUUUGAGCACAUACUUCGGCUGUGGCUUCCUCUUCCUCUUUGGUCAAUUCCGUGAUUUUUUUCAGGAAAAUAUUUGAUUGGUGUUAUGCCAGAUAUCUUCAGGGUUAUGCACUGAUCUGUUUUGGCCUUGAAGGUUUCUACCUGCGCCGUCUCUAUCAUUGAAUUCAGGUUUAUAGAUUAUUUCAUUACCUUGUGACGUUGUACUUCUUUUUUCUUUUUUAUUUAAAAAAAAAAAAUUAUCUGUGAAGCAUAUGCGCGCGUCAAGUCUUGAUUUGAAAAAUUAAUUAGCAAUUUCUGAUUCUAAAAUGUUAGCUGAAAUAAUAGUAUUUUUUUAGUUGUGUUAUCAUUUUGAUUUAAAAGCAUUUACUGAUGCAAAAUCAUGAAUUUGAUUAUUCUGGGUUUGUAACUUUGUAUAAUAUAAUUUUAUCUUGUGCUUCUUGCUUUGAUAUCUCUUGGCCAAUAUCGAGUGCUCCUGAUGCUUGGCUUGAUGUGGUUGAACGUUAUUCGGAUGACAAUAACAAGACAGUGAAGUGAUUUCAUAUAUAAUUUUGCUCAGAUUUUUACAUUCUUGUUAUUUGAUACCUAUUUUAACUUCUAAGCAUUUUGUGGAUUAAUUGCUACUAGGUGUCUUAAUUUGGGAUCAUAUAAUUAUAUUGGGUUUUUCUGCAGCCAGAUGAAUAUUACAUGCCAUGUGUUAUUGAGUGGUUGAAUCGGUUUUGUCCGAGUAUUUGUAAUGCUCGUGUUGAUGGAGGUAUGCGAUUUCUUUCUGCAGUAAGUUCAAUCCUCUUCAUUCUGAUAUUUGGUAUUCAAGGAGAAUUUCUUGAUCAGGACUUCGACAGUACUGAACUAGAGGAGUAUGUUGCAAACUUUGCUGGAAAGCCAGCUGCCCUGUUUGCAGUAUAGAGUACAUGACAAAUUCUGCCAUCUUUCCUUCCUGAUUGGGAAAGUAUGCAUAUAACCUUUAUUACGAGCAUGUUAAUCUCCUACUAUCAUGUAUGAAUUGCUUAUUUCCGCCAAUUUAUCGAAUAGAGAGGAUUUACAAUUAGCGAUUCAUUGAACCACAACUACUCAAUUGUCAAUGGUGCUCGAGGACCGGACAAUUCGAGUUUUACAACAUAAUAAUAAGUUUUAUUUCUAUGUUGGUUUCUGAAAGAAUAUUCCAGGCUUCAUAUGCCUAUAAAAUGUUUGCUUUCUUUGUUUUAGCACCAUCUCACUUUGAGAAAUUUUCAAGAGAUCAAAUUGCCCAGGGACAACCUAGGACGCACAGACCAUGGAAGGAGAUAUAGUCGUUGACAAGGGUGUAUAUGGUAUCGAAGGGCAAGUCUGCAGACUUCCUGAGAUUGCGGCCAUAUGCAAGAUAUAUAAGGCAUAUUUUAUUUGGACGAAGCUCACAGCAUUGGAGCUGUUGGAGAAACAGGAAGAGGUGUUUGUGAACUCUUAGGUGUGGAUACUGCUGAUGUGGAUAUUAUGAUGAGAACUUUUACAAAAUCAUUUGGAUCAUUUGGUGGAUAUACUGCUGGAUUAGGAGCUUAUACAAUAUCUCGAGUACACCUCUCUGCUCAUCUAUGUGCAACAUGUAUAUCACCUCCAGGUGCACAAAAAUUUGUAUCUUCCAUAAAAGUUAUUCUUGGAGAAGAUAGUUCCAGUAGAGGGGGCUCAGAAACUUGCUAGAAUAUGUGGAAACAACUUUUUCAGGUCAGCUUUGCAGAAAAUGGGUUUUCAGGUUCUCGGAGAUAAUGAUUCUCCUCAAGUGUUUGAAACAGAAUAUGAGUUGUUUAGUUUGUAUCUGGUUUAUUGAUGUUAUGGAUACAAAUUGUGAUUCCCACCAGUUGCUGCUUUAUAAUCUGAUAGUUUGAUGGCUAAUACUAGUAAUUAAAAUCAAUGAUGUCAUUUUAAGUUCAUUUUUACAUUGAUAGGAAUCCCCAUUCAUUCCUAGAUUCCCAUCACUACUGAUUGAUUGCCCCUACCUAACUACAUGGCGGUGGUCUAGGGUGCACAAUAGCUAGAGCAUGGGAGAAUGAAGAAUAACGAUUUCAGCAAGAGCUGCCAGAUGGACUAAUGUUGAAAGUCUGGUGACUACUAGAGUAGAGUUGAGUCAAAAAGUAUGAAUUGCAGGUGGCUGUAGUUACAUUUGCUUUUCCAGCUAACCCUCUAUUUUUAGCUUGGGUGCGAUUUGCACUUCUGCUUCUCAUAACAAGGAAUAGCUUCUGAAAGCCUUCAGAGGUAACAAGUCUGUCAAUAGAGACUUUAGUGUCUUAACAUUCUAGCUCCUGAUAACUUCUGUGCUAGACUGAAGGUCUCUGCCCAUGAAUAUAGUUUGGUAACUUGUUGAAUAUCAUGUUUGCUGAUGGAGAAUACAUGAUCAUUAUUAGACACAUAUUAAUCUUAAAACUAGGUACUCAAUCGAACCAAGCCUAGAAACUGGUGAUAGCAAAGAAACUGCUGAUCGUGCAAAUGUUAGAUUGUCUCAGAUCGCCCUUCAGAGGAAACUUGUCUAAAACUAGCUAUAGUGAUAUAUCGUUUGGCACUGUCACUUUUAGGCCGUGACAAAGGAUGAAUUAGCGCUGUAAUAGAUGUUUUCAGUACACAUUAGACAACUUUGAUGCUGUUUGGGAUGCCAAUAAAAAUGACUCCUAUCUA